Molecule: small nuclear RNA, 170 nt
Filed under: Canis lupus familiaris (dog)
Lineage: Eukaryota; Metazoa; Chordata; Mammalia; Carnivora; Canidae
Also listed under: 1 other name
Description: U4 spliceosomal RNA (multiple genes)
Rfam family: U4 spliceosomal RNA (bases 1-79)
Source: RNAcentral
GGCUUUGCACAGUGGCAGUAUUGUAGCCAAUGAGGUUUAUCCGAGGCACGAUUUAUUGCUAAUUGAAAACUUUUAAAAGGUUAAAUGUGGCUUUAAAAUCCAUUUAGGGGGAUCAGCGGUUUAGCGCCUGCCUUUGGCCCAGGGCGCAAUCCUGGAAACCCGGAAUCGAG